This is a long non-coding RNA of Bolinopsis microptera, 716 nucleotides long. RefSeq lists it as uncharacterized. NCBI's taxonomy places the organism in Eukaryota, Metazoa, Ctenophora, Tentaculata, Lobata, Bolinopsidae. The transcript is spliced from 3 exons. The record is from RefSeq and is a predicted model, not a curated record.
CCUGUCUUCAGCUGGAUUUUGUGCAGAGAUUCCUGAGCAGUUGGAGGAGUACCGGGUAAUAAAGUGGGGAGAUAUUCUCAAACUAAGUAGAUCUGGUACUGUGUUGGACGAAGACACCAGAUGUGCUGCAUUUGUUCAACUACCGAUAACUCGAAAAAAGCUGGAAUUGGCCGUGGCAGAAAAGAGUUCUCUGGAACUAUCCUUGAACAAAACGAGGAUAGAUCUACUCAAAGUUCAAGAACGCUUCAACUCUACCCAGGAGGAACUAGUUGAGGUACAAGAACGCUUCAACUCUACCCAGGAGGAGUUAGUUGGGGUCAGGAGGGAACUUGGAGCAACAGAAGGGGAGUUGAAUGAAACGAGGAGCGACCUUCAAGAAACAAAGUUGGAACUUAGGAAUCUCACGGAGUCUAAAUGUGCGCUAAAGAAAGGGAAUUUGACAAAGUGGGAUAUGUUCUAUUCGCCCGAGUACUAUAAUAAAACCUUCACUCGCACUCUCUACCAACAACUCACCUCGACAUGGGAUUCAAUUAGCAAUCGAUUGUUUGGGAUGACGAUUACUGACAAGGUAAUCGAGCUGAUAAAAGAUCUGGACGAUGAUCAGAUCGAUCACUGCGGAGAAUUAUCAUAAAGCCUUGCUACCAAAAUUAUGUGUUACCGGAGAGAGGAUGCACCAUGCUGACGCGUCACGAGAAUGACAGCUGUAUACUGACGCU